GCAGUGGUGGUUCAAUGGUAGAAUUCUUGCCUUCCAUGCUGGAGACCCAGGUUCGAUUCCUGGCUAAUGCA
This 71-nucleotide transfer RNA is filed under the name Loxodonta africana (African savanna elephant). It matches the Rfam family "tRNA". From Rfam's summary of the family: Transfer RNA (tRNA) molecules are approximately 80 nucleotides in length. Their secondary structure includes four short double-helical elements and three loops (D, anti-codon, and T loops). Lineage: Eukaryota; Metazoa; Chordata; Mammalia; Proboscidea; Elephantidae. The record is from Rfam by way of RNAcentral.